This 59-nucleotide small RNA is filed under the name Thalassobacillus devorans. RNAcentral describes it as "Bacillaceae-1 RNA". It matches the Rfam family "Bacillaceae-1 RNA", at positions 8 to 66 of the family's 67-position model. The record is from RNAcentral. Lineage: Bacteria; Bacillati; Bacillota; Bacilli; Caryophanales; Bacillaceae.
GACGUUCGAUUAAAAACGGCACGUCCUGUGCCAACAUCGAACUGACCUGCAUCCUGCAG